AAUAAGAGUGUAGAUAGAGCAUAUGUAGAUGACAGAAGAGAGAGAGCGGGAGGGUUUAUCUGAUCUGUGGUCGCUUGAAUGAUGAGUUGG
This 90-nucleotide small RNA is filed under the name Arabidopsis thaliana (thale cress). RNAcentral describes it as "ATSL138820". The record is from RNAcentral. Lineage: Eukaryota; Viridiplantae; Streptophyta; Magnoliopsida; Brassicales; Brassicaceae.